Molecule: long non-coding RNA, 939 nt
Filed under: Bos indicus x Bos taurus (hybrid cattle)
Lineage: Eukaryota; Metazoa; Chordata; Mammalia; Artiodactyla; Bovidae
Description: lncRNA (ENSBIXG00000016525.1)
Source: RNAcentral
UCCACAGAUGGCAGCUAGGGGUUUUAGUUAUCUUUAACCCUGGUCAACACCAGAUGUUUUGCUAAUUAGCUUAAUGAAAGUCAGAAAUAAACUGUCAAUGGUGCAAUUACAGACUUUAUAAAUAGAAUGCAAAACUCUAGAAAUAGGCUCUUGAAAUAAAUAGUGUUCAAAAAAUAUGAACUAGCUAAAAUACUUUAGUAUAUGGAUUUAGAAAUUCUCAGCUGAAUACCUUUCAGAUUGGCAUUCAAGCCAUUGCUUAUCAAAAGGUCUUGGUACCUUGAUAUUCUGGGAGUUCUGUUUGUUGACAAUAAUUAAGGCUAACUGAACUCUGUAGAUUACUAUUGUGUUUUUGACCAAAGGAUAUUACACCUGAAGUGCCAUUGGAACACUCAAAAAAUAGAGUUAGGAUAUUUUUCAAGUUUUAUGAUUUGGUUUUGAUAAUGUAUAUUUGUUUUAAAACUUUUAUGUAUCAACUGUGUAUGCAUUCAGUGCUGUACUGGACCCUUGGAUGAGAAAUGACUAAUGUAUAACACCCCAGCUUCAGGAAGCCUGUUAUCUGCUAAGCAAGAAACAAUUGCAGAUGCAUUAACAGGAACUGACUUCUUGCAUUUUAUUCCAAUACCUGCACAUUAUCUUCUUUUUUCCUGUCUGCCGCAUUAGAUGAGUUCCAUUUCAGCAGAGACGUGGAUUAACAAGCUUUCUCCUAGUACCUGCACGUGCCGAUGCUCAAUGCCAAUUUCCAGAGAAGGAGUAGGGUUCUCAUCUGUAAAAUCAGGAAAAUGGCAAGGACACCCAGUUCACAGUGACCCUGGGAGGAUGAAGUGGCCUGCCACAAGAUGAAUGAGAAGGAUUCUCAGACAGUGUAUGCAGGAUGAAUGCAAUUUCUAGGGGAGGAGAAAAGAAAGAACAUUCCAGCAGCGAACAGAAGGUAGAACGACA